This is a transfer RNA of Talaromyces islandicus, 72 nucleotides long. It matches the Rfam family "tRNA". From Rfam's summary of the family: Transfer RNA (tRNA) molecules are approximately 80 nucleotides in length. NCBI's taxonomy places the organism in Eukaryota, Fungi, Ascomycota, Eurotiomycetes, Eurotiales, Trichocomaceae. The record is from Rfam.
GGGAUUAUAGUUGAGUGGUACAACGCUCGCUUUGCAUGCGAGAGGUCCGGGGUUCGAUUCCCUGUGAUUCCA